RNAcentral lists this ribosomal RNA (253 nucleotides) under uncultured bacterium. RNAcentral describes it as "partial 16S ribosomal RNA". It matches the Rfam family "Bacterial small subunit ribosomal RNA", at positions 524 to 776 of the family's 1533-position model. The record is from RNAcentral.
UACAGAGGGUGCAAGCGUUAAUCGGAAUUACUGGGCGUAAAGCGUGCGUAGACGGUUAUGUAAGUCGGGUGUGAAAGCCCCGGGCUCAACCUGGGAAUGCCAUUCGAGACUGCAUAGCUAGGGUGCGGAAGAGGGAAGCGGAAUUUCCGGUGUAGCAGUGAAAUGCGUAGAUAUCGGAAGGAACACCAGUGGCGAAAGCGGCUUCCUGGUCCAGCACCGACGUUCAGGCACGAAAGCGUGGGGAGCAAACAGG